UAAUAAUAUAGAUUAACUAUUGUCAUUAUUUUGACUUUGAUUAUACUUAAAUCAUACCAUAGCUUUGGACCUAGCUAGAGUUGAUUCUCUUUCUAUAUUUGUGUGUUUGUUAUGGACUACAUCUAGGCUACAAUAUUUAUAGGUAGGGACAAAACAAACUAAAUUCCAAAAAUUCCCAAAAAUCCUGAUAAACAAGUGGAUCCAAUAAUCGAAGGAGCAGGAAAAAAGGAAGAUCUCUACAGCCUUUGGUUUUAGAAAAUUUAGAGGUGCCUCUUUAGUCAAAUAAUAAAGACAAAUUCCUUCAUCAAUUGUCUCGCCACUAGCCAUUACAUUAGGAUAUCGUGUGAAUCUCGCAGUUUUUUUUUUUUUUGUUACUGUAAAUGGACAACAUUAUAGCCUUAGUAAUACCAUAAGCCCAGUCCAAGAAGGUAAGAGCACCAGCAACACUUAAGAGCAUCAUUAGCGUCAAACUCUUAAAAACAGGUUCUUAAAGGUAAAAUAAUACUAUUUUAAUUUGUUUUAUUUAAAUCAUAAAAAUGAAAUGUCUAAAACUAUUAAUGUAUUGACAGGUGUGAAGAGCUCUAAAAACCAGGUUCUUAGACCAUGAUUAUCGGGGUCCUAAAGUUGGGUCCUAACCCAUUAUCGGCCCAAAAAUAAAUACAAAAUGGUGAUAAUGUUCCGGGACGGGCAUUAACCAAGGUCGAUUUUUGCUCGUCCUUCCUUGCCACCUGUCGAGUGGAGAUGAAGCGGAGAAGUCGUGUAGGGGAAACUCGACUUUCUCUUCCCAAAUCGAUCUCACCGUCUUCCGAUUCUCUCUCGACGGCGACGCAUGUGGCGAUAAAGUACACCGACGAUUUCAUCCCGAAUCUCUCCGGAUCCCUCACGAGUCUAUCCCGAGUCUGUCUCCAACCUCAUUCUCCGCCGAUUUCAAUCUAAAAGGUCAUGGGAUUGGAUUAUAGCUACACGCAGCCGUCUGAUUCGGAGGAUUAUGGUUUAGGGAACUCAGCAGACAGUGGAAACAGCUCCACAGAAAUGAAUAUACUGCUGGACCAAGCAGAGAUAGAAGCCGCACGGGUUCAGUACCCUCCGCAGCCGGAGGUUGAGUUCGGCUUCCCCAAGGAAUGCUACUGUGGUGGCGAACCGCUUAUUAGGACAUCUUACACAAGAACUGACCCGAGGAGAAGGUUCUACACCUGUGAGAACAUCGACGACGGAGACUUCCAUGUACACAAGUGGUGGGAUGUGGCGGCUACAGAGGAGAUCAAAGCCAUAGGUACACAAUAUGCCCUGCUUGAGAAGACUGUCUCUGAGUUAUCUAAAAAAAAAUCUCCGUUUCGUAAUGGGUUUGAACUCGUACUAGGUGGUCUGGUUCUUUUAGUAAUGGUAAUAUCCAUGUUCGUAAUGUUAAAGUAGGUUUGAACUAAGAGGAGAGUGAACUAAGUAGCUUGGUGUUUUGUAGUAUGAACGCAUACGACUGGUGUGUGUAUUGUAAUAUGUUAUGUAUGAAACUCAUUAUGAAGCUGUACAAGGAGACGGUUAAGGGGUGUAUUUUUUCCAAUGAACAAGGAGACUUAUAAAUUUUUAUAAGUACUAUGUUUUGUUAUUACUAAUUGAUCAUGUGAUUUCGUAUAA
Long non-coding RNA from Brassica napus (rape), 1632 nucleotides. RefSeq lists it as uncharacterized. The transcript is spliced from 2 exons. The record is from RefSeq and is a predicted model, not a curated record. Lineage: Eukaryota; Viridiplantae; Streptophyta; Magnoliopsida; Brassicales; Brassicaceae.